AACUGGCACGAUGGAAACGGAUAGAGCUAGCGAACUCGUUCGUAUUCAGCCAACGGUUCUGGGUUCGGUCUUGUUGUGUUUCAGUUUUGUGCACGCAGGAUCGAGCGCCUGGGUUCCAAGGUGCAUUUGCGGACGAUUGCGCUGAGACUUGUGGGGCAGCGGUAGGACCCGGUUCAUGAGGCCUCCUUUUGGUUGUACCCUGAACUGGUAUACGACUGUUUGCUCUGCUCGUAAUGUUGGUUCGGCCUCGGGUGAAACUGCCGUUGGCGUUCUCUUGUGGUGGCAACAGCACGCUUUGCCUAACUUGGGGAUUCCGGCUGCGGUGGAGCUCUCGAACUGUCUCUCGGUGUAAAAGCUGGUCAUCUAUCCGACCCGUCUUGAAACACGGACCAAGGAGUUUAGCGUAUGUGCGAGCCACUGGGUAUUGCAAAACCUAUGGGCACAAUGAAAGUGAAGGCUCGGUCGCCGAGCUUACAUGCGACCGUGCUAGCUUCGGCUGGUGCGGGCAGCAUGGUCCCGUUUCAGUCGCUUGCGACGGAGCGGAGACAGAGUGCAUGCGCUGAGACCCGAAAGAUGGUGAACUAUUCCUGAGCAGGACGAAGCCAGAGG
RNAcentral lists this ribosomal RNA (609 nucleotides) under Tylenchulus semipenetrans. RNAcentral's name for it is "eukaryotic LSU rRNA". It matches the Rfam family "Eukaryotic large subunit ribosomal RNA", at positions 403 to 858 of the family's 3401-position model. The record is from RNAcentral. Lineage: Eukaryota; Metazoa; Nematoda; Chromadorea; Rhabditida; Tylenchulidae.